This 90-nucleotide transfer RNA is filed under the name Bacteriovoracaceae bacterium. Its description in RNAcentral is "tRNA-Ser". It matches the Rfam family "tRNA". Rfam says of the family: Transfer RNA (tRNA) molecules are approximately 80 nucleotides in length. Their secondary structure includes four short double-helical elements and three loops (D, anti-codon, and T loops). The record is from RNAcentral. Lineage: Bacteria; Pseudomonadati; Bdellovibrionota; Bacteriovoracia; Bacteriovoracales; Bacteriovoracaceae.
GGAAGUGUGUCCGAGUGGUCGAAGGAGGCAGUUUUGAAAACUGUUGACGGUUUGCGCCGUCCGGGGGUUCGAAUCCCUCCACUUCCGCCA